GUGAACUCGAAGAGUAGGGCGGGACACGUGGUAUCCUGUCUGAAUAUGGGGGGACCAUCCUCCAAGGCUAAAUACUCCUGACUGACCGAUAGUGAACCAGUACCGUGAGGGAAAGGCGAAAAGACCCCCGGCGAGGGGAGUGAAAAAGAACCUGAAACCGUGUACGUACAAGCAGUGGGAGCACCUUCGGGUGUGACUGCGUACCUUUUGUAUAAUGGGUCAGCGACUUAUAUUCUGUAGCAAGGUUAACCGUUUAGGGGAGCCGCAGGGAAACCGAGUCUUAACUGGGCGUUAAGUUGCAGGGUAUAGACC
This 312-nucleotide ribosomal RNA is filed under the name Klebsiella pneumoniae. RNAcentral's name for it is "bacterial LSU rRNA". It matches the Rfam family "Bacterial large subunit ribosomal RNA", at positions 399 to 715 of the family's 2925-position model. Lineage: Bacteria; Pseudomonadati; Pseudomonadota; Gammaproteobacteria; Enterobacterales; Enterobacteriaceae. The record is from RNAcentral.